This 433-nucleotide ribosomal RNA is filed under the name uncultured bacterium. RNAcentral's name for it is "partial 16S ribosomal RNA". It matches the Rfam family "Bacterial small subunit ribosomal RNA", at positions 29 to 507 of the family's 1533-position model. The record is from RNAcentral.
AGCGAACGCUGGCGGCAGGCUUAACACAUGCAAGUCGAGCGGGCCCUUCGGGGUCAGCGGCGGACGGGUGAGUAACGCGUGGGAACGUGCCUUCUGGUCUGGAAUAACCCUGGGAAACUAGGGCUAAUACCGGAUACGCCCUUUUGGGGAAAGGUUUACUGCCGGAAGAUCGGCCCGCGUCUGAUUAGCUAGUUGGUGGGGUAACGGCCUACCAAGGCGACGAUCAGUAGCUGGUCUGAGAGGAUGAUCAGCCACACUGGGACUGAGGCACGGCCCAGACUCCUACGGGGGGCAGCAGUGGGGAAUAUUGGACAAUGGGCGCAAGCCUGAUCCAGCCAUGCCGCGUGAGUGAUGAAGGCCUUAGGGCUGUAAAGCUCUUUUAUCCGGGACGAUAAUGACGGUACCGGAGGAAUAAGCCCCGGCUAACUUCGUG